UACGGGGGGGGCAAGCGUUGUUCGGAAUUACUGGGCGUAAAGGGCGCGUAGGCGGCCUGCUAAGUCGAACGUGAAAUCCCCGGGCUCAACCCGGGAACUGCGUCCGAUACUGGUUGGCUUGAAUUCGGGAGAGGGAUGUGGAAUUCCAGGUGUAGCGGUGAAAUGCGUAGAUAUCUGGAGGAACACCGGUGGCGAAGGCGGGUUGCUGGGCCGACACUGACGCUGAGGCGCGAAAGCCAGGGGAGCGAACGGG
Molecule: ribosomal RNA, 253 nt
Filed under: uncultured bacterium
Lineage: Bacteria
Description: partial 16S ribosomal RNA
Rfam family: Bacterial small subunit ribosomal RNA
Source: RNAcentral